RNAcentral lists this ribosomal RNA (465 nucleotides) under Vreelandella stevensii. RNAcentral describes it as "partial 16S ribosomal RNA". It matches the Rfam family "Bacterial small subunit ribosomal RNA", at positions 338 to 795 of the family's 1533-position model. The record is from RNAcentral. Lineage: Bacteria; Pseudomonadati; Pseudomonadota; Gammaproteobacteria; Oceanospirillales; Halomonadaceae.
CCUACGGGGGGCAGCAGUGGGGAAUAUUGGACAAUGGGGGGAACCCUGAUCCAGCCAUGCCGCGUGUGUGAAGAAGGCCCUCGGGUUGUAAAGCACUUUCAGUGAGGAAGAACGCCUGGUGGUUAAUACCCAUCAGGAAAGACAUCACUCACAGAAGAAGCACCGGCUAACUCCGUGCCAGCAGCCGCGGUAAUACGGAGGGUGCGAGCGUUAAUCGGAAUUACUGGGCGUAAAGCGCGCGUAGGUGGCUUGAUAAGCCGGUUGUGAAAGCCCCGGGCUCAACCUGGGAACGGCAUCCGGAACUGUCAAGCUAGAGUGCAGGAGAGGAAGGUAGAAUUCCCGGUGUAGCGGUGAAAUGCGUAGAGAUCGGGAGGAAUACCAGUGGCGAAGGCGGCCUUCUGGACCGACACUGACACUGAGGUGCGAAAGCGUGGGUAGCAAACAGGAUUAGAUACCCCAGUAGUC